This 463-nucleotide ribosomal RNA is filed under the name uncultured bacterium. RNAcentral describes it as "bacterial SSU rRNA". It matches the Rfam family "Bacterial small subunit ribosomal RNA", at positions 28 to 517 of the family's 1533-position model. The record is from RNAcentral.
GAUGAACGUUGGCGGCGUGCCUAACACAUGCAAGUCGCACGCUUGUAGCAAUACAAGAGUGGCGCACGGGUGAGUAACACGUAGCUUACCUGCCUCAAAGAGGGGGAUAACCCCGCGAAAGCGGGACUAAUACCGCAUAAGCUCACAGACUAUAGAGGUCGGUGAGAAAAGGAGCAAUCCACUUUGAGAGGGGGCUGCGGCCCAUCAGCUCGUUGGUGCGGAAGAGCGCACCAAGGCCACGACGGGUAGGGGACCUGAGAGGGUGACCCCCCACACUGGGACUGAGACACGGCCCAGACUCCUACGGGAGGCAGCAGUGAGGGAUAUUGCACAAUGGGCGCAAGCCUGAUGCAGCGACGCCGCGUGGGUGAAGAAGGUUUUCGGAUCGUAAAACCCUUUUCUGUGUGACGAGAACGGACGGUAGCACAGGAAUAAGUCUCGGCUAACUACGUGCCAGCAGCCG